Molecule: ribosomal RNA, 1006 nt
Filed under: Nostocaceae cyanobacterium I.11.a
Lineage: Bacteria; Bacillati; Cyanobacteriota; Cyanophyceae; Nostocales; Nostocaceae
Description: bacterial SSU rRNA
Rfam family: Bacterial small subunit ribosomal RNA
Source: RNAcentral
GGCUCUUGGGUUGUAAACCUCUUUUCUCAGGGAAUAAAAAAAUGAAGGUACCUGAGGAAUAAGCAUCGGCUAACUCCGUGCCAGCAGCCGCGGUAAUACGGAGGAUGCAAGCGUUAUCCGGAAUGAUUGGGCGUAAAGGGUCCGCAGGUGGCAUUGUAAGUCUGCUGUCAAAGAAUGAGGCUCAACCUCAUCAAGGCAGUGGAAACUACAAAACUAGAGUACGUUAGGGGCAGAGGGAAUUCCCAGUGUAGCGGUGAAAUGCGUAGAGAUUGGGAAGAACACCGGUGGCGAAAGCGCUCUGCUAGGACUGUACUGACGCUGAGGGACGAAAGCUAGGGGAGCGAAUGGGAUUAGAUACCCCAGUAGUCCUAGCCGUAAACGAUGGAUACUAGGCGUUGCCCGUAUCGACCCGGGCAUUGUCGUAGCUAACGCGUUAAGUAUCCCGCCUGGGGAGUACGCACGCAAGUGUGAAACUCAAAGGAAUUGACGGGGGCCCGCACAAGCGGUGGAGUAUGUGGUUUAAUUCGAUGCAACGCGAAGAACCUUACCAGGACUUGACAUGUCGCGAAUCUUUGGGAAACUAGAGAGUGCCUUCGGGAGCGCGAACACAGGUGGUGCAUGGCUGUCGUCAGCUCGUGUCGUGAGAUGUUGGGUUAAGUCCCGCAACGAGCGCAACCCUCGUUCUUAGUUGCCAGCAUUAAGUUGGGCACUCUAGAGAGACUGCCGGUGACAAACCGGAGGAAGGUGGGGAUGACGUCAAGUCAGCAUGCCCCUUACGUCUUGGGCUACACACGUACUACAAUGCUACGGACAGAGGGCAGCUAAACAGCGAUGUCAAGCAAAUCCCGUAAACCGUAGCUCAGUUCAGAUCGCAGGCUGCAACUCGCCUGCGUGAAGGAGGAAUCGCUAGUAAUUGCAGGUCAGCAUACUGCAGUGAAUUCGUUCCCGGGCCUUGUACACACCGCCCGUCACACCAUGGAAGCUGGCAACGCCCGAAGUCAUUACU